This 539-nucleotide unclassified non-coding RNA is filed under the name Hevea brasiliensis (rubber tree). Lineage: Eukaryota; Viridiplantae; Streptophyta; Magnoliopsida; Malpighiales; Euphorbiaceae. The record is from RNAcentral.
ACUGUACCUAAUACUAUAGGCCUAAAUUUUGCUCGGUAACUAAAAUUUAUAGGAGGAGAAUAUAUAAAGGACUAGACAUCAUAACAAAGAUGUAGUUUCCUUUUAAAGGCAAUAGGACAGAGGAGUAAGUUGUUCCAUCCAAUUGCUAAAGAAGUCACCCAAUUCAUGGUCCACUUCUGCUUCCUAAAGGUAUUAGAGUCAGGUCCCAUCCAUGUCACGUUUCCCAAGCUACAAGCACCCCAAUCUUAACCGCAUGUAUUUUGAUUGACUUGCUAAGAAAUACCCAUCACUGAAACAUUAAUCCAGAAUUUCUCAAUCCCGGAUGUGAAGAUUAUAGACCCAUAAAAGCCACAACCAUCACUUCUUCCACUUCCACCACCACCACCACCACCACCAUAAGCAAAAGCUAAAGCUAGACAAAUUUCAGCAGAUACACACUACUAACAAUUUAUUCCCUCUAUAUACAGUCUAAAACUAAAACUAUUUACAGGAGUAGAAGCCCCCUAAACCUCAAUCAUCCGCCACAUCAAGAUUAAGAA